Molecule: long non-coding RNA, 1394 nt
Organism: Girardinichthys multiradiatus
Lineage: Eukaryota; Metazoa; Chordata; Actinopteri; Cyprinodontiformes; Goodeidae
Exons: 3
Source: RefSeq, a predicted model, not a curated record
GGGAGAGAACAUGAGGGAGGAUGCAGCUGGACAGAAAGAGGAUUACUGCUCCUGUGAGCGCAUCAUGCCGCACUAAAACACGGAACAGGGAUGUAGGCUAAGAGAGCUGGCAGUAUUAGCCCAUCAACAAUGCUUACCCCUCUGAAGGAGAGUCCUCCAGUGACAGUGCUCUCUCUGCUGAUGUGGAGCCGUCCCAGCUGUGGUGACUACAUCCCACCACAAGGGAGAGGGACAGGGAGAUGCUCUGCUCCCCACUCACCACCACAUGAGCCCUGGAAAACACAGGAUGACCCUGAUGAUGCACCUCCUGCUUCCUCUAGAUUUUUUCCCAAACAUCCCCUGGUGUCAUAUUCCCUCUCAACCUGAGAUCUUCUGCAAGAUGUUCAAACAUCUACUUGAAUGCACCAACAAAAAAGCAGCGGCUAACCAGGAGAAGGGGAAGGACAUUCUUCGGACACCAGUUUCAACUGAUGAGCUUAGGAAAUUCAUUGGUCUGCUGCUUUAUAUGUCUGUGGGCCACCUUCCACAGCUAAAUGAUUAUUGGCGCCAAUGGACAAUUUUUCACCAGGCUCACCUUGCAAAUGUCAUGUCCCACAACUGUUUUCGGCUCAUUCUGAGUAACCUCCACAUGACUGACCCAAAGGCAGACAGAAAGGGAUCUAGGGGCAGCAUCAGAUGGAUCAGGGAUGAUGACCUUCUUUUUGUCAAGGAGAAGUACACUUCCAAGGUCUCCCUCUGCUCCAGUGUUCACCCAGUCUACAGCGAGAACAUGGUUGAGCACUGGCAGAAGACAGGUGAGCAACACUGGAGAGUCUCCAUCCCUAUACUCACAGUUGUCUGUGAAUACAACAAGUAUAUGGGAGGAAUUUACACCUCGUAUAAAAUGCUUUGAACCAUCACAGUGUUCCAGCACCUUGUGGACAUUUCUGUGACCACAUCUAUGAAGUCCAUGAGGAGGUGUGUGCCACCCAGCAGCAGCCACAUGACCCGGCAAGCAAUCCAAGAUAAUACGACAGAACACCUACUUGGAAUACCCCUAAAAUGUUUUUCUUCUAUCCCACCAGCCACCCACCAUUACCCUGACUCCACAAGCGGUGGUAAUCCAGCUUCCCAGCGUUUGACCAAGGGGCAGUGCAUUUGCAAACUUUGCAAAAAGUUGACCAGCUGGACGUGCAAACUUUGCAAUGCACCACUGUGUCUGCAACAAGCCAAAAACUGCUUCAAGUAGUUCCAUGUUGAUUAGCUAAUAUGUAGGCAUUGUAAUAGUUUGUAGUGAUAAAGUUAUAUCGUAAUGAUUGCAGUAUUGUUAUGUUGUUAUAGUUAUUAUAUUUGACUUUUGAAUAUUAAUGUUUUUCUUGCCAGUUUAAGUGAAAACAAAUACAUAUGAAUGAUUC